AACGAACGCUGGCGGCAUGCCUAACACAUGCAAGUCGAACGAGACCUUCGGGUCUAGUGGCGCACGGGUGCGUAACGCGUGGGAACCUGCCCUUAGGUUCGGAAUAACUCCCCGAAAGGGGUGCUAAUACCGGAUAAUGUCUUCGGACCAAAGAUUUAUCGCCUUUGGAUGGGCCCGCGUUGGAUUAGCUAGUUGGUAGGGUAAAAGCCUACCAAGGCGACGAUCCAUAGCUGGUCUGAGAGGAUGAUCAGCCACACUGGGACUGAGACACGGCCCAGACUCCUACGGGAGGAAGCAGUGGGGAAUAUUGGACAAUGGGCGAAAGCCUGAUCCAGCAAUGCCGCGUGAGUGAUGAAGGCCUUAGGGUUGUAAAGCUCUUUUACCCGGGAGGAUAAUGACAGUACCGGGAGAAUAAGCGCCGGCUAACUCCGUG
RNAcentral lists this ribosomal RNA (433 nucleotides) under uncultured bacterium. RNAcentral describes it as "partial 16S ribosomal RNA". It matches the Rfam family "Bacterial small subunit ribosomal RNA", at positions 29 to 507 of the family's 1533-position model. The record is from RNAcentral.